CACCAGGCUCUCCUUCUUGCUGGGCUGGCCCAGAACCUCCACAGCCACAGCCUUGAGGCUGGGCGUGACCGACAGGUUCUUCAGCGUCGGGUAGCCCGGCAGCACGGUGCGCGUGCCGGGGACCAGGGCCGGCACGAAUCCGCGCUGGCCGGCCGGCAGCGGCGGCGGCGGCGGCGCGCGCUGAAGCCGGCUGUUGCACCGCGUCACGGACGUGAAGUGACUCGGCAGCGUCGAUGCACAGUCGCCGCGCAGGCCGUCGGCCAGCGAAUCUGCGACAUCAGCCGCCACAUCAGCAUGACAUCAGCGGGAAACCAUGCGCAAUCCCGACCACGGGCAGUCA
This 340-nucleotide long non-coding RNA is filed under the name Coccomyxa subellipsoidea. RNAcentral describes it as "long non-coding RNA (CSUB_LNC000487)". Lineage: Eukaryota; Viridiplantae; Chlorophyta; Trebouxiophyceae; Coccomyxaceae. The record is from RNAcentral.